UCUGGCAUUCCAUAAAUCUCAAUUUAUCUGUCCCUUCAUUUUUAUACAAAUGGAAGGGAAGGGAAGCCUCCUUGGAAGCAAACGUCUCUGCUGCGUGGGGUAGUGUGUGGUCCCAGAUUCCAUAUUUAGGGAAAUCUCUCCUGGGGCCAUGGGCAUCGUCCCCAGGGCUGCCCCAGCACCAUUCAACACUUCCAGCAGAUGAUGGGGUGCAGGGGGUGUUUGGGUGCACAGGGAGGGCACAAGGAGGCAGUGCCCCUGGGCAGGUGGUACCGCAUCCCAAAAUGACGCAGGGGGGUGGAAGGUUCUGGUAGGAUGCCAGGAGGUGCUCGUUAGACCCAGGUGCUGGCACUCAGCUAAUGAGGGCCCACAGGCGGCUCCUUCUUCCUGCUCCUCCUGCAGUGUCCUGGUGCUGGGGACACUAGGGCUGUUAUUUGGGGCAAUAUUUUGGUGCUGUGAGGAGCAGAGAUGAGAUGAGAGCCCAAGGCCUGCAUUGCGUGAUGACCUCACACUGGAGGCUUUUUCAUCUCUGAGGACCUUGGAUUGCUCUGCAGACUUAAUGGUAUAACAUACAAAUUGGAUGCCGGAGGAUCCAUUUGCUCUCUGCUGAAACGAGGCAGUGGCUUGGAUUGUUCAGCAGUGCUUGUGGACGCAAAGGGCAGCGAGGGAAGAAGCUCGAAGCCAAUCCUUGUGGCAGAACGAGAACUUGGAGGGGAAGGAUGCAGCUCACCUCGGUGCCCAGAGCAAAGACUGCUUAAGAAGAGGUCAUGGGCACGCCUAAGAAAUCUAAACCAUGAGCAAAGCAGGAUGGCUACUGAACCUGGAGGGCAGUGUGCUGAAAAGUGAAGAAAAUGCUCCUUCACACACUUCUUCUAGCUGCUGGGAUGAAUCAUUGCUACCUUGGUGAAGCCAAGAACGUUGGAAGACUUAGGGCUUUCCAGAAAAGACCAGGGAAAUAAUUAGUUUUUUUUGUUUGUAAUGAGUUUUUGUUUGGUUGGUUUUGUUUUUAGCAAGGAAUUCAAUAGAAGAUGACUUGACAUGUCAGGACAGCAUACCUCUAAGCAAGAGCACGUGGUUUCUCAAAGUGUUUUUAAAAGUAAUGCAGAACUCUUGGAUUUGGUGAUAGGAUCUUCUCCUACCGCCCUUGGUAGCUGAACUAGGAACCACCAGAAAGGUGUGGAGCUUCUUUCCUCCAGGCCUUUCAUGCUCUUUCAGGAGCUCACACCCAAGUUCUUGACUUCUUAGAUCCCCAGGUGAGAGGGGGCUUUUCCAGCCCUCUGCCUUUCCCAUCCCAGUGUCAGCCACUCCCAAACGUGGUGGCCGUCUGCCACAGAAGUUGCCCCUUCCCAUCCUGGAAAGGCAAAGGUCAGAACGAAGCUCAUACAUAUAACAUGCAACUGGAAAAAAUAUUUACAGAUAGCAAAUUGCCAUCUCUGCAGAAGGAAAACAUGAAAAAAUAGAAACGUGAUAUUUAUUUUAAUACAAUGUUUUUAAAUUUUAAUUUAAGAGACCAGCUGUUUCUGCUUCUCUUCUAAGAGCUUAAUUGGUAUAUAAUAGCAUAGUUAAUUAAAUACAAAUCAAUAGUUUAAAACAGCUAAUUGAUAUUUAAUAUGUAUGGGAAAAUAUAACUUAGUUGUAAUAUAAUUAACUCAAUAUUAAAUAAGCAAUGGAAUCGCAAUUAUGCCUUUACAGUGAUUAUAAAGUUUAUCGUUCUUUAAUAAACUUGCAAUUCGACGGGAUAAGCUGAAAAAU
Long non-coding RNA from Anser brachyrhynchus (Pink-footed goose), 1749 nucleotides. The record is from Ensembl. NCBI's taxonomy places the organism in Eukaryota, Metazoa, Chordata, Aves, Anseriformes, Anatidae.